GCCCCCGCCGUCGCCGCGGUUCGACGCCGCGGCUCAAUGAGAACGACGCCAUCACGCCGCUCCGCUCAGGCGUCACUGCGCACCACUGUGGCGUCCCCGACGUGCCUCCUCGCCGAGUAGAUUUCGUUGUGGGAUCAUACUGAAAAAAAAUUAUUUCAUGGCAAUCUCCGUACAAGCGUCGCCAAAGAAGAUCAAGAUCCGACGACGAGGAAGCUGAUACAUUACUAUAGUUGAUGCUUAAUAAUUUGUAAUAUCUCAAGUAUUUUUGAACUCCGAAGUGUUCCAUACAUUACGAAUAUAUAUAUAUAAUAUUAGUGUGA
Panicum virgatum (switchgrass) is the source of this 320-nucleotide long non-coding RNA. RefSeq lists it as uncharacterized. The transcript is spliced from 2 exons. Lineage: Eukaryota; Viridiplantae; Streptophyta; Magnoliopsida; Poales; Poaceae. The record is from RefSeq and is a predicted model, not a curated record.